GAUGAAGAACGGCAGCGAAAUGCGAUAAGUAAUGUGAAUUGCAGAAUUCAGUGAAUCAUCGAAUCUUUGAACGCACAUUGCGCCCGCCAGUAUUCUGGCGGGCAUGCCUGUUCGAGCGUCAUUACAACCCUCAGGCCCCCGGGCCUGGCGUUGGGGAUCGGCGGAAGCCCCCUGCGGGCACAACGCCGUCCCCCAAAUACAGUGGCGGUCCCGCCGCAGCUUCCAUUGCGUAGUAGCUAACACCUCGCAACUGGAGAGCGGCGCGGCCACGCCGUAAAACACCCAACUUCUGAAUGUUGACCUCGAAUCAGGUAGGAAUACCCGCUGAACUUAAGCAUAUCAAUAAGCGGAGGA
This 354-nucleotide unclassified non-coding RNA is filed under the name soil metagenome. RNAcentral describes it as "partial contains 5.8S ribosomal RNA, internal transcribed spacer 2, and large subunit ribosomal RNA". The stretch from base 1 to 121 matches the Rfam family "5.8S ribosomal RNA", at positions 35 to 154 of the family's 154-position model. The record is from RNAcentral.